RNAcentral lists this ribosomal RNA (229 nucleotides) under uncultured bacterium. Its description in RNAcentral is "partial 16S ribosomal RNA". It matches the Rfam family "Bacterial small subunit ribosomal RNA", at positions 109 to 339 of the family's 1533-position model. The record is from RNAcentral.
AGUAAUAUAUAGAUAACCUGCCCUCAAGAAAGGAAUAACAGUUGGAAACGACUGCUAAUGCCCUAUAUGCCUUUAAUACAUAAGUAUGCAAGGGAAACGCUUUAGUGCUUGAGGAUGGGUCUGUAUGGUAUCAGCUUGUUGGUGAGGUAAUGGCUCACCAAGGCUAUGACGCCUAACUGGUUUGAGAGGAUGAUCAGUCACACUGGAACUGAGACACGGUCCAGACUCC